This 383-nucleotide ribosomal RNA is filed under the name uncultured bacterium. RNAcentral describes it as "partial 16S ribosomal RNA". It matches the Rfam family "Bacterial small subunit ribosomal RNA", at positions 355 to 749 of the family's 1533-position model. The record is from RNAcentral.
UGGGGAAUAUUGCACAAUGGGCGCAAGCCUGAUGCAGCAACGCCGCGUGAGGGACGACGGCCUUCGGGUUGUAAACCUCUUUUAGUAGGGAAGAAGCGAAAGUGACGGUACCUGCAGAAAAAGCACCGGCUAACUACGUGCCAGCAGCCGCGGUAAUACGUAGGGUGCGAGCGUUGUCCGGAAUUAUUGGGGCGUAAAGAGCUCGUAGGCGGUCUGUCGCGUCUGCUGUGAAAACCCGAGGCUCAACCUCGGGCCUGCAGUGGGUACGGGCAGACUAGAGUGCGGUAGGGGAGAAUGGAAUUCCUGGUGUAGCGGUGGAAUGCGCAGAUAUCAGGAGGAACACCGAUGGCGAAGGCAGUUCUCUGGGCCGUAACUGACGCUGA